AGUGAACGCUGGCGGUAGGCCUAACACAUGCAAGUCGAACGGCAGCACAGUAAGCGCUUGCUCUUACGGGUGGCGAGUGGCGGACGGGUGAGGAAUACAUCGGAAUCUACUUUUUCGUGGGGGAUAACGUAGGGACACUUACGCUAAUACCGCAUACGACCUACGGGUUAAAGCAGGGGAUCUUCGGACCUUUCGCGAUUGAAUGAGCCGAUGUCGGAUUAGCUAGUUGGCGGGGUAAAGGCCCACCAAGGCGACGAUCCGUAGCUGGUCUGAGAGGAUGAUCAGCCACACUGGAACUGAGACACGGUCCAGACUCCUACGGGAGGCAGCAGUGGGGAAUAUUGGACAAUGGGCGCAAGCCUGAUCCAGCAAUACCGCGUGGGUGAAGAAGGCCUUCGGGUUGUAAAGCCCUUUUGUUGGGAAAGAAAAGCAGCAGGUUAAUACCCCGCCGUUCUGACGGUACCCAAAGAAUAAGCACCGGCUAACUUCGUG
RNAcentral lists this ribosomal RNA (492 nucleotides) under uncultured bacterium. RNAcentral's name for it is "partial 16S ribosomal RNA". It matches the Rfam family "Bacterial small subunit ribosomal RNA", at positions 29 to 507 of the family's 1533-position model. The record is from RNAcentral.